Molecule: transfer RNA, 72 nt
Filed under: Camelus bactrianus (Bactrian camel)
Lineage: Eukaryota; Metazoa; Chordata; Mammalia; Artiodactyla; Camelidae
Also listed under: 1 other name
Rfam family: tRNA
About the family: Transfer RNA (tRNA) molecules are approximately 80 nucleotides in length. Their secondary structure includes four short double-helical elements and three loops (D, anti-codon, and T loops).
Source: Rfam by way of RNAcentral
GAGGGUAUAGCUUAGUGGUAGAGCGUGUGCUUAGCAUGCACAAGGUCCUGGGUUCAAUCCCCAGUACCUCCA